UACGUAGGUGGCGAGCGUUGUCCGGAUUUACUGGGCGUAAAGAGCGCGCAGGCGGUCGUCCAAGUCGCGUGUGAAAGCCCCCGGCUCAACUGGGGAGGGUCACGCGAUACUGACCGACUCGAAGGCAGGAGAAGGAAGCGGAAUUCCCGGUGUAGUGGUGAAAUGCGUAGAUAUCGGGAGGAACACCAGUGGCGAAGGCGGCUUCCUGGCCUGUUCUUGACGCUGAGGCGCGAAAGCUAGGGUAGCAAACGGG
Molecule: ribosomal RNA, 253 nt
Filed under: uncultured bacterium
Lineage: Bacteria
Description: partial 16S ribosomal RNA
Rfam family: Bacterial small subunit ribosomal RNA
Source: RNAcentral